UCAUCUUAAUGAUUAAGAAACCAUAUCAAAAUUAGUUCUCUAAGGAAAUCUUAGUGCAUUCUUAUGACUAAGAAGAGGAACUUGAAUUGUUGAAAUGGUUAAAUCAAGAAGAUGAGUCAUACUUCGUUCCAAUACAAGUCUUAGAGUCAUACUCCAAGAUUGUCAUUUGAGUGACAUGUCUUAAAGAAGGUUUAAAACACUUGUCAAAUGUAAGAGUAAAAGUUUUCUACUCUUGUACAUUUGAAAUUGGUAAGUUGUGAUGUUUUGGAUAAAACAAAGACCAACUUAGGCCAAUUGGGUAAAGUGUUUUUCUUGAUUAGAAUCCGCACUAUCUCUUGGAUGUUUGACAAGGGAGUCUUAUAUGUCAAGAGGACAGUGGGAGUCUUAAAGGUCUUGAAAGUCUCAAGAACUAAUCAAGAAUAAAACCUGAAGUUCUUCACUAGCACACGACUUGAGGUUUAUAACCUAUCGUGUUGACAUAUCUGUGCCCAUUCCAGUUAAAGUUGGCUUUGCAUAUGAGUUCUUAGAGUUCUCAGUUUGUUGCAUAACAACUUGGAAGCAAUGGCAGGCCCUUGAGCUGCCAGGUGGCAAGAAGUUAAGAUUGAGUUCAAUCCAUAUGGUUUUGGAUUUGUCAUUAUCUUUGUCUUGUGAUUAUGGUUUGACAAAUUCAUAUGGGUAGGAACUCAUACACCAUAUAAAUCUAAGUGUCAUAAGGUUUCUCUCCGAUUCAUGAAAAUGAUGGUGAGGAAACACUUUCACUAAGUAGAUUUUAUCUAGAUAGCAAUUGUGAUAUUUGCAUUCUCAAAGUCGUUAGUGGAGCGCGUGUGGUUAACCGGCACACUAACCUGGACUUGUGAGAAGUGGCAAAAAGGUCUAACCAUUAUGAUUACGGCAUACCUCUUCAUAAUUGUUUAGACACACAAGUGUGCUAUCUAAGGGAAGGUGUAUGAUUUUGAUAAAGUUUUAUCAAAACAAUCUAGCAUCAGAAAUCUGAACUUUGGUAAGAAAGUCAAUGAAGUAUUGAUUUCUAGAAGUCCAGCUGAUUUCUGAGUACAUGUCAAAGCUAGUGGGAGCAUAAGUGUUAUGCUAAUAAUCAUCAUGUUAGUGGGAGCAUGAUAAUUAUGAUAAGUAUUGCAAGUUAGCAAUGUUAAUUAUAGAAAACAAAAGUUUCAAUUGGGAAAAAGUUGUUUUGCUAUAAUUAAGGGAGAGGAAAUUAUGCUUCAUCUCAAAUCUAUAAGCUUAGAUCGUGAGGUUUUAAUCAUUUAGUCAAGGAUAUAUAUGAAUUUCAUGUUGGAAUGGCUCAACAUAAGGAAAUUCUGUAUAUGGGUCCAUUAUUUGCGUUCUAAAAUUCGAUUAUGAUUACGGCAUCCCUUUUCAUAAUCUGAAUUAUGAGAACUUGGCAAAUUGAAAUGGAAAUGUUAUAGCAAAAGACUGGUUUAGUCUUUAUGUGAGACAUCAUGAAUCGUGUCCCAUAUGCUUCGGAUAUAGGAUCGAUUACAUGUGCUAUAUUCAUCCGUUCUAAAAUUUUCCAAAUGCCUGGGGCAUUAAGAAGGGAAAAGGUUUAGAACUGGAUAUGACUAAAAGGAUUAAACAAUUGUCGAGGACAAUCUAAGGUUUACCAAAGAUUGGUUGCUCAAGGACAGUUGGAAGUAUAGUGAUAAUUCUGGAAGGACCAUAUUGACAUAAUCUGUAAGGAGGCAACUCUUGUUCAGAAGUGAUAGUCAAAAUGGAAUCUGGAAAUGUUUCAAAGUUAGAAUUUUCAAUCUGUUUAAGAUUAGGAAACUUAAUGCAAGAAGGAUGUUUCCAAGGAGCUGAUCUCCUUUGGAAUACUCUGUAAUGAUUGUUGUCAAGUCUUUCUGACUUUGUGCAUAAUCAUUACAAGAGGAUCAAUGCAUAUAAGUUUAGAAUCUAACAGAUUUCAGUAAAUGGCAUGAAUUUGGAAUUCUUGCAUUUGCAGUAAGGAUUUGGGAGUGUGAAAAGAGAAUCAUUGAAGUUAUGUUCAAUUGAUCUAGUUCACAAAGUAAAGAUCAUAGACAAACAUAGUAUGCAUACUUGGUGUGUGGCAUGACUAGUGUUUAAGAAAACAUAGUGUACAUGCUUGGAGCAUGGGACAACUAUUGUUUUAAAUUCAAGAAUAAAGUUGAUAGCUGAAACAGUAUACAAUGAAUAAUGUGUAAUCAUAUGGUGAUAAAUAAAAGGUGUUUUAUUUAUGUUCAAAGGGUUGAUACCAUAUUGGAUUCAAUUAUUAUUGUGUUUCACUUUGCAUGUUUUGACUUCCCGAAUAAACUAGGUUAUUCUUCCGGAAUGACUAAGUUAUUCAAACCAUCCACAGUCGGUCAUAUGUUGGAAGUAGAUAUGAAUUAAGACUGUCAUGGGUUGGCUUGUAGAGGUCUAAGGUGUUGGACAAAGGGCUACAACACUCAUGAGUGCUCAUAAGUUCUGAGUAUUGGAUUCAACCCGCGCUCAUUGGAAUCACUUCAUGGAUUUUAUCACGAGUGAUCAUGAGACGAUAAUAUCUUAUAUUCUUCAAACCUAGAGAUAUGAGUUGUUACUAUGAGUUGAUAGUACAUUGAUUGCACGAAAACGCAUUUGGUAACUCGGUGCUAUAAAACGUGCCUUUGUGUAUGAUUCAACAAGUAGUAGAACAAGCCAUAUGAGUCGAAGUUUAUCCGUUCCUUUUACCUUCGGGAUAAAAGCGAUAUCUGUGGGCCCCUCGAUGAUUUGAUGAUGACAAAUGGAAGUGCUCGGCCGGGCCAGGACUGAUUUGAUUUGUUCAAUUAGUCAGUCGUCAUAAAUCGGAAAUCGGGAAACAACAAAUGGACAGAGAGAAUGAUUAUAAUCCAUGUCUCAGUCCAUAUGAUAUCUAGAAUGGAGGAAUAUAUGAUCCCUUAUCUAAUGGACAAGUCAUUGACAAAGGUCAGAGUUCAUCUACAAGGUCAGAGUUCGACAGAAGCUUUUGAGAGCUACGAUUGCCAGUUGGUUCCUGAAGUCAUACGCAAUAAUAGUUUUAGACUUAUCCAAGUGGGAGACUGUUGGAUUAAUGUCUAAGUCCAUAACUAUAAUUGGUAAGACUUGACCCGACCCGGCAUGGUCCAUUUGGGUUGCAUACCAUCAUGCACUUGGAUAGACUAUAAUGAGAGAAAUAAGACACUUAUGGUUAUUAAUAUAUUAUAAGUUCUAGUAUAUUAAUAAUAAGAAUAAUAAGAUUAUUUAAUUAGUAUUGAUCAAGAAUUAAUCUAGGAUUAAUUAAGUGAUCAAAAGAAGACUAAUUAAAUAUAUGGGUUGAUUGUGUAAAUCAUCCAUACUUGUAUAGUGGGCUAAUGCUCCAUGGAUAAUCAAGUUGGGCUAAAACCCAUAGGAUGGUCCAUGGAUGCUCCAUGGUGUAUUUGUACCCAUGGAUCCAAGGAAAUGGAAAGCCAUGACAAUUAAGAGUUUACCCUAAUUGUGUAACUAUAUAAGCAUCUUAUUAUUGAGGAAAAAUCGGCCACUAGUAGUAUUCAAGAAAGGGCUAGCCGAUUUUGGUGAGUGUAGAAUUCUCUCAAGUCAUUCUAAGUGUUUUGAUGAUUGUGAUUCCAUUUGAGGUGUCACACUUGGGGCACUAGGCACUCAAGCUUCAUGAAGACUUUCUACACCAAAGAGGUAUGUAUUCUAUCUUGCUAUAGUCAUUGUUUUGUAUGCUAGAUUAGGAUAAUACCUUGGAAGUUCUUAUUUGCAUGUAUAAUAGAGAAAACAUAGAUCCAAGGUAUUUAGGGUUGCAUGUACACUUAGGAAGUGUUAGAAUGCUCAAAACCCAACAGUGGUAUCAGAGCCACGGGUUGUUUUCUGUUAUAUUGAUGCAAAUAUUUUAUUUUCAAAGUUGAAAAAAAAAAAAAAAAAAAACAUGAAGUUUGUCAAAUUUUAAGAUAAUUACUUGUUCUUGUGAAAAACUAAUUAUUUGUAAAAUUUGAAUAAUUUGCUUUAUGAGUUGAAUUAGGUCAAAUUUAAUAAAAGAUAAAAUAAUAUGAUUAUUUUAUUAGUUUUAAAAGUUUGAUCUAAAGAGUUUUAUUUUUUGAAACCUCCAUAAGUUAUGGAUAUGAAAAGGUUUUAAAAAAAAAAUUGAUUCAAAGUUUUUUUGGAGUUACAAAAUUUGGUGUUAAUGUUUUAAAGGAUUCCAUAACUUAAGAAUAAGUUAUGGAUCACCAAAAGUUUUUUGUGUUACCUUGUUUUAUGAGUGAAUUUAGAUUAAUGAAUAAAAUUAUGUGAUAGUUGGUUUUAAUCCAAAUUAAUCUAAGAAUUGAUUCUAAAAUGUGUUUUUGUAACUUGUCCUCAAGUUAUAUGAAAAGUCACAUUUAAGAAUCAUAAAACUCAUAAAAAUUGGCAAAGGUUACAAAAAUGAAGAGUCUAGUUCUAAUUAAAUGGUUUUAUGACUCCAUAACUUGUCCUCAAGUUAUGGAGGACCAAGAGUCUCUUCAUUUAAUAAAAUAAAAUAAAUUAAAAAAAAGGUGUAACCUUAAUUAAUUCCAUAAGUUAUAAAAUAAAGAAAAGUUAAUUCUUUUAUUAGUUUAAAGUCUUCCAUAACUUGUCCUCAAGUUAUGGAACUUGAAGAGUUUUUGGAUUAAAACUACUUUAAACACAUAAGUUAUGGAAUUAAUUAGUUUUGAAUAGUUUCAAAACUUGCCCUCAAGUUUUGGAAUUUGUAAAGUUUUCACUUAUGAAUACUUUAAUUCCAAGUUAGCCCUUAGAAUUUUAAAAGUUAAAAUUCAACCCUUAUACUUUAUAAUAUUAUAAGUUAAUAAUAUAUAUAUGUAUAAGAGUAAAGUCAGUCUUACCGCUAGUACGCCUCAUUCACGAAGCCGGUCUAUAAGGUGGGUAUAAGGUUGUUGCCUAUAAAAUGGCAACUUAAUGGGUGUCCACUCUCACCCACCGCUUGCUUGACUGGUGGAGGGUCGUUAGCCGAACGGGUUUGACAGGACUAUAAUUCUCCCUUCAUUAAAAGUAUUAAUGAUAAAUACUAAGUAACUAAACUCUUAAUAAUACCCAAUCUUAGUUACUUAGGAAAAUGUGAAUAAGGUGCUAAUCCAUGAAAUUACACUUUGCACUUUGUUUAAGUCGGUUAGUGGAGCGUGUGUGGUUAACCGGCACACUAACUCGUAUUUAACAAGGUAGGCAAAGGGUAACUUAAUGUUUAUCAUAGUAUCGAUGGAGCGUGUGUGGUUAACCGGCACAUCGAUUGAGGGGUAAACACUUAAGGGUACCAAGUAAUUUGCAUGGUUACUUCACACCUUGUUUUGUGAUCCUCGGCAUCCCAGUCACAAAACCUGAAGGGCACACUCGAGAUUGAAACAUGCCAUUGAAAAGUUCAAUGAAUCUCAAAAGAUCUAGGAGUUUCAAAUCCAAUUAAAACCUAAUAAAUUAUUUCGUUUUUCAUGGUGGAAAUUGGUGAAUCGUCAUUCACCUACCUUCAAAUAUUCUAUAGCUUGGAUUACGGCAUCCCUCUUCCAAGUUAUAAAAUAGUUUGUUGGGUCCUAGCCUUAAUAUUUCAUAUUGGGUGUUAUAUUAAGGACUUUAAAUCAACUAUCUUGAAUAUCUCCCAAAAGAUGUCUAGUUCAGACAUCUAUGAUCUUCCCAAAUAUCUUGGAACUUCACUUCCUCCACCUCCUCCAAUUAUUCUCCCUAACCCACAAGUUCAAGGUCACUCAAGCCCUAUUGGCAAGGCAAGGUCUAGGUGUGAUCACAUCUUGGAGAUGAAGUCACAUACUGACAAGCCGGGAGAGUUGGGUGUCAAAGUCUUAAGAAAGUUAGUGGUUCAAUCACUUUCUAAGUCACAUAGUGAGUUCCUUGGGACUCCUAUGAAACAGACUAUGACAAGACCCUUAAUGAUCUUAUCUAUUUGCUUGGUGCUGCUAAAUCAGAAAUGAUUUAGUGUACUAGUAAAGCAAAUUUGAUUAGGAGAUCAACUUCCCAAAACUUUAUGGACAGGGACAAUAGUGACACAGGAAAUCCAGAAAAGCAUUCUCUUCCCAAUGGAAAGGGAUCGGCCAUAGUCAACUCGGUUGACCAAAUGGUAAAGAGAAAGGCUAAGUCUGAGAUAGUCCCAUGUACUAUUACCUAAGGGUCCAUAUGGUCCUAUUGCCAAAAGGAAAGGGCAUUGGUUGCGAAGCUGUCAAUUUUACCUGAAAGAUCAUAAGGCUAGUAAAGUCAAUAAGUUUGACUCUAUUUCAGGUAAGGUCCACUAUCUAACUCGGUUAAGUUUCUAUUCUGAGAUUCUUAUUACAAGAUGUGACUGGGUCACAUGUUGAUGUUUAAGAAUCAAAGGAAAAGUGAAGGAAACUUAAAGAAAGAGUAUGUUGAAUCUGAUCGCGAAGAUGGAUUUCUAUCGCUUGAUUGAAGAUUGGAUUCUUGAGCUACUCUUAGGAGUUAUGAUAGAUUGCUAGGAAACAAGUAAUAACAUAGUUUUCAUUUCAAGUUACAUUGUAAGGAAAAAGUUUUUUCCGCAUUUUAAAAUAAAUAAAAGUUUGUUUUACUUUAUUUUUAUCUCCUUACAAUGGCAUUCAUGAAAACUUGAUGUUUGUAUGUUUAUAGCAAUAUUGGAAAUAUGAAUUUGAUUCUUUCAUUUGUGGUAGUGUCUAAAUUUACCAAAUAAGGAAAGAUUCUCAUCACCCAAGUUUCAAUUGGACCGAAACUUGGAAUCAUGCAAGUUGUAUAGUAUGAUGAAUGAGAACUUUCGAGCAUUGGAAAAAUUAAGACUAACUACUUGUUCACAUGGAUGUGUGAGUCAAGAGAAGGACUAAGGGAUCAAGUACACUUUCUUGUGCACUUGUCAAAGUCCACCACAAAAGAUGGAUAAGACUAUUCGUCAUGAUUUACUAAGGUUUAGUAAAUAUGAUUAUACUUACAAGCUUAAGUAUAAUUCUGAAGCAUUGGAAAAUUUUCAAUGUAUGACAGAACGAAUAAGAAGAAUCAAAUUAGGCAGAAGGAUAAAAGUUUCUCAAAUCUGAAAAGAUCGGAGAGUACUUUAGUAUCAUGUUUUAAGGUUAUCUUAAUGAUUUUUAGACCUUAUCACAAUUCAUCCUCUAAGUACAUUCUGAUAGUUAAGAAGAGGAGUUAUGAAUUGUUGAAGUGGUUAAAUCAAGAAGAUGAUUCAUACUUCAUUCCAAAACAAUUCAUAGAGUUAUCCUCUAAGAUUGUAACUUGAGUGACAUGUCUUAAAGAAGGUUUAAAACACUUGUCAAAUAUAAGAGUAAAAGUUUUCUACUCUUGUACAUUUGAAAUUGGUAAGUUGUGAUGUUUUGGAUAAAACAAAGACCAACUAAGGCUAAUUGUGUUAAGUGUCUGUCUUGAUUAGAAUCCACACUAUCUCUUGAAUAUUUGGCAAGAAAGUCGUAUAGGUCAAGGAGACAGUGGGAGUCUAAAAGAUCCUGAAAAAGGUUUCAAGAAGUAAUCAAGAAUAAAACCUGUAUUUCAUCGCUAGCACACAGGUAGAGGUUUAUAACCUAUCGUGCUGACAUUUCUAUGCCCAUUCCAGUUAAGUUGCCUACACAAUUGAGUUCUACAUGUUCUCAAUUGUUUGGAU
Molecule: long non-coding RNA, 7552 nt
Filed under: Lactuca sativa (garden lettuce)
Lineage: Eukaryota; Viridiplantae; Streptophyta; Magnoliopsida; Asterales; Asteraceae
Description: long non-coding RNA (LSAT_LNC008920)
Source: RNAcentral